CGGCCUUCUCAUGGGUUAAGGAUUUGGCGUUGCUGUGAGCUGCAGUGUAGGUUGUCAGUGUGGCUUGGAUCUGAUGUAACUGUGGUGUAGGCUGGCAGCUGCAGCUCUGAUUCCACCCCUAGCCUGGGAACCUCCACAUGCCACACGUGCAGCCCUGAAAAGGAGAAAUUAAAGAGUCCAGGAUGGAAUCGAGGUUUCAGGCCCUUCUGUCCAGCAGGUUCUUACUGAGCACCAGCUCUGUGGCUUGAGGAAGUACCCCUUUAAUUCUGACAGAAACCCACCAUGUUCAAUGGGCAUUCUCACCCCAUUUUGCUGAUGGGCAAACUGAGGCUAAGGCAGGUGAUACAACCUCCCCAUGACCGCACAGGAAGAAGGGAGGUAGCCAGAAUUUGCACCAAGAAGGGACCACGAAAAGAUUUGAGAAUAUUCUCCUCCUUUUGAGCCAGAAUAGAAUGUUUGGUGGGGUCUGCAUUUGUGUCAAAGGACCAAGGGGGAGGGGGAGGACUUACCUGGAGUCUCUUGUGAGCUCCCCAUGGCCCUGACCCCUUAAUGUGCGUGGAAGUGCGCGUGUGACAUUUUUCAGAGGACACAGUACUGAGACUUGGUGACCCGUGAAGGGAUAUGAAAUAGCUCAUUUUGUAGUUUGGAAAACUAGAGAAGUGGGGGCAGGAUGGGGCUCCUGGGGGGACCAGCAGCCGAGGCCAGAGCUUUCCCAGGCAUCUCACACAGGCUUCUUUCUGGGGCCAGAGGGCCCAGCUCUGGACACCUACCCACCCCCUGCCUCCCCUCCCCAUGCCCUGGCAGCAAAUAGGAGAGGCCACCUGUGAACAGACUGCUGUCCUGGGGUGAAAAACAUGAUCCCUGGCCUCGCUCAGUGGCUUCAGGAUCAGGGACAGGGGUCAGGGACACCCUUCAGAGAAGGUAUUUAGUGGCAGAGAACCAGACUGGGGCACUGGCCUUGGGGGCGCAGCAGGAGGGCUUCCCUCGGGGGGCGGGUGUCAGGGAGGCUCCCAGCUGCCCCCACCUUCCUGGGCACAGGCCAGCUCCACGUGGGAAUUCAAGGCCACUAAGCUGGGCCACUCCUUCUCCCCAGGUCCCUCUUGGGGGAUGCCCGCCCUGAGGGAGUGGGCACGACCUUCCCUUGCACUCUCCCCUGGCAUUGUCUAGACUGCAGCCAUGCUGGGCUCCUUGGACUCCCCAGAGCCUACAGGAUGGUACCAAGUGCAAUGUUCAAUUCUCACCCUGCCCCCCAUUCGCUUAGUUCCCGCUUUGCUUGGAGAACUUAGUUCUUCAGACAGUCAUCUGUUCACUGAUUUGUUAACCAGCUAUUUAUUAAGUGCCUACUGUGUGCCAGGCACUGUGCCAGCUGCUGGGACAACAGCCAUGAACAAAGUCGCUGCCCUCCCGAUGCCUAAGUUCUAGCGGGGAACAGAGACGGUUGACGUUAUGCUGGACCGUGAUCCGCUCGACUGGGGACAAACUAAAGCAGAGAAAAGGGAGCACAGUCGGAGGGCCCUAGCUGAGAAGCUGCCGUUUGAGCAGAACUUGGAGGAAAUGAGCCAUGUGGAUCUCUGGGGGCAGAGGGAACAGCCACCAGGCAGGGAGCUGGCGUGUUCGCGGAACAGCGGGAAGACCAGCAGGUCUGGAGCAGAGGGAGGAGGAGACGGGUCAGAGGGGUGAAGUGAGGGCUGCUGUAAGGGCUUUGGAACGAGAUGGGAGUCAGUGGAGAAUGUUGAGCUGGGAUGUGAGGUGUCAUGUGAUCUGAUUGGGGUUUUUUUUUUCCCCCCCGCACUUGUGCCACAAGGAAGUUCCCCAGGCCAGGAUGGAACCCACGCCACAGUUGCAGCCUGCGCCACAGCUGUGGCAAUACCAGAUCCUUAACUCACGGUGCCACAGGGGAACUUUCCUGACUGGGAUUUGAUGGGCUCCCUGGCUGCUGUGUCAAGAGGAGAUUGAGGGGUGUGGGGGGCAGUUAGGAAGUUACUGCCGUAGCUGAGGGCCCGUGAGGGAGACCAGUGCGGUGAGAGCUGAGGAGGGAGCUCCAGCAUCUACUCCAGGUCUGGUUGAUUCCACAGCUACUUUAUGCAAAUACAAGCCAAUGAGGGACCUGUUCUGGUCUUCCUCCACUUUAAAGUAACACACUAAACAAAGUCUUGGGAGCUCUGGGAUGCAGGCUCAAUCCCCAGCCCGGCACAGGAGGUUAAAGAUCUGGUGUUGCCGCAGCUGCCACUCAGAUCUGAUCCCUGGCCCGGGAACUCCAUAUUGCCAUGGGGAGGUCAAAAAAGAAGCAGCAAAAACAGGAAGAGGCCAGGGACACAGCCCUCUGGGGGACAUCGAGCGUGCUACAGAAAUUUCAGAUGCACUCAGCCUUUAACCUGGCCACCCGUUUCUAGAACGGAUCAUAUGGCCACAGCUGCACACAGCAACUUGACUUAGGUUCAGGGCUACUCAUUGUAGCAGCAACAUGUUGAACACACCCAAUAUCUCUCCAUGAGGAUCUGGUUAAAUCAAAGCAGUGCAUAUACCUAUACACACCUUUUCAGCUCUGGGGACCU
Molecule: long non-coding RNA, 2555 nt
Filed under: Sus scrofa (pig)
Lineage: Eukaryota; Metazoa; Chordata; Mammalia; Artiodactyla; Suidae
Description: lncRNA (ENSSSCG00065043422.1)
Source: RNAcentral